This 443-nucleotide ribosomal RNA is filed under the name uncultured bacterium. RNAcentral describes it as "partial 16S ribosomal RNA". It matches the Rfam family "Bacterial small subunit ribosomal RNA", at positions 338 to 795 of the family's 1533-position model. The record is from RNAcentral.
CCUACGGGAGGCAGCAGUGGGGAAUAUUGGGCAAUGGGCGCAAGCCUGACCCAGCAACGCCGCGUGAAGGAAGAAGGCUUUCGGGUUGUAAACUUCUUUUCUUAGGGACGAAGAAAGUGACGGUACCUCAGGAAUAAGCCACGGCUAACUACGUGCCAGCAGCCGCUGUAAUACGUAGGUCGCAAGCGUUAUCCGGAUUUAUGGGGUGUAAAGGGCGUGUAGGCGGGAAAGCAAGUCAGAUGUGAAAACUCAGGGCUCAACCCUGAGCCUGCAGUUGAAACUGGUUGUCUUGAGUGCUGGAGAGGCAAUCGGAAUUCCGUGUGUAGCGGUGAAAUGCGUAGAUAUACGGAGGAACACCGGUGGCGAAGGCGGAUUGCUGGACAGUAACUGACGCUGAGGCGCGAAAGCGUGGGGAGCAAACAGGAUUAGAUACCCCAGUAGUC